GCCAAAUUUCAUUUAAUUUCUGUUUAUAGACGAUUUUAAAUAUUCGGCUAAUAGUCAUUUGUUCUAUUUAAACCUAAAUUUUUUUUGGAACAGGCGUUUUUCAAGGGUGUUUUGUCAAACAAGUUUUUGGAAAUUUUUUUUUGUGAAACCAGUUAAACCGGUACUCCCAGUACCGGUUUCAAAUUUUUGGCCCGAACCCGGUAUUCGCACAACCGGGUUCAUUUUUCGAAGCUCGAAACCGGUAUUCGCGGAACCAGGUUCGAGGUGACAUGACAUCCUGCAAGAGCAUAUGUGACUGGAACAGUUAUCAUACAAGAAAGCUUGAACCCGGUUUUGGGAAUACAGGGUUCGGCCUAAACCUAACAUGUGUCGCAACCUCAUGUAACCCUUAUUCAACUUUUAAACCAUUUAUCUAUAUAUAGUACAUGUGAUGUAUCUCCAUUAGUAUUCCAACAAAUAUUUUCAAAUAAAAUUUCAAACACUUUGAUAAACUAUAUAUUAAAAAAAAUGGCAUCUUCAUCAUUUAACCCAAUUGUGGUUCAGUUAAUAUGGGAUGAGUGUGUAUCAUUCGCAAAUGGGAUCCUUCAAAAUGCAGAUCCAUCAAAAAGAAGUUUUCCUCUUUUUCACGUAAUGACUUAUUCAGAAAUUUGUGAUGUCACUUACAGUUGUUUUGGUGUUUCAAAACAAGACUUCAAAUUGCAAUUAUAUUUAUGGUAUGCAUUUAAGGGUGUUCCUUUUAGAAAUUUAAUUACGGAUGAUAAUACUUUGGCAAUGAUUUAUCAUCUGGGUGAAGCGUAAUUUCAAGUGAAGUUCGAGCCUACUUUUACAAACCAGUUGUUAAGCUUGACUCAAAGUCAAUGUUUUUUUCAACCGGGUAACCAAUCACAAGAUAACGAAGAUCAUGAAGACAAUGACGAUGAUGAAGACAAUGAAGACGAUGAACAUGAUGAAGAUAAUGAAAUUGCACCAAUGGUUGAUGGAUCUAGUGAUGAGGCACCUUAUACAAGAGAUGAUACCAUCGACUGAUAUAGCGUUGAUGGGGAUGUAUCUGGAGAUGAAGAUGAUGAAGUGGCACAUGUACAAGGUCCUUUGGAGCAGCAACAACAUCUUAAUCUUGAAGAUGAUCGUCAAAUUCCAUUCAAUGAAGUUCAAGAAGAUGUGGUAUUUUGGUCUAUGUGACAGAAAAAGUAAUGGAUUUUCAAAGCAAAGCGGAACUUGUAUACACUGUUAGGCUUUAGAACAUAAGAGAAAACAGAGAACUUAUUGUUCAAGAUACGAGGCCACAAUUUUGGAAAGCACAGUGCAUGACCAAGGGGAAGAAUUAUCGUGAUGUUAUGGACCGGGUCCCGUGUAAGUGGGUUGUAGUUGGAUCUAGCAGAAACAGUUCAGGAUUGUUUCGUAUCACAAAGUGGGUGGAGAGUCAUAAUUGCUAUGGCGAAGUGAGAUCUAACAACAACCGAUGUAUGACAGCAAGUAUGAUAGCUUCCGAAAAUUUGCCUGAGGUGCAGGAGGAUUUAACUUAUAAAGUCAGACACAUCCAGACGCAAGUAAAAACAACGUUCAGUGUCGAUGUGACCUACGCCGAGGCAUGGAAUGCAAGAAGGAUAGCAAUUGAAAGGUUGUAUGGAACUUGACCGAGUAACAUUGAUGCAUUGCCGAAGUAUAUUGCUGAAUUACAAUGUGCUAAUCCAGGCACUGUUGUGGAAUGACUACAUUCUUUAACCAGUUCAAGCCAUAUACAAACAUUCAAGUUUGUAUUUUGGACAUUUGGACUGGCAAUUAGAGUAUUCCAACAUUAUAUUCCAGUGAUCUUUGUCGAUGGCAAUUAGAGCAUUCCAACGUUGCUAACUGUAGUGACGAAGAACGCCAAUGGACAAUUAUUGCCUAUCGCUUUUGCCUUGGUUGAUGAAGAGUCUAAUGAAAGUUGGGGAUGGUUUUUAAAUUCUUUCAAGAGCAUGUCAGAUCGCAGUAGCAGGGUGAUUUGUGUAUCCUUUUGAUACCGUCACCAAGGCAUAAUUAAUGCAGUGAACCAAUCAUCGGUAUUGUUUGAGGCACGUUUGUAGCAAUGUCAACUCGCACUUCAUGAACAAGUGUAUCAAAAUUUUGGCUUGGGUUAUCGGUUCCACAUCCCAACAAUCCAAGUAUUCUUGGGCGGUGGAUGAAGUCAAAGGUGAAGCAGAGGGUGUUUGGCCGUAUUUGAGAAACAGUGGUUUGGAUAAGUGGACUCUAAAGCACGACUCGGGACUUCGUCGUUGGGAUAACUUAACGACAAACAUUGCCGAGUGCCAAAACAAUAUCCUUCGAAAAGCUCGUAUGCUACCUAUUAGAGCUUUAAUUGAGACCACUUUUACUUCUGACAAGAGACCAUUUUGUCAAGUAAUACCGGAAGGCCACCAAUUGGAACCCACCACUAGCUCGCAAAAUGUUGGAGGUUUAUCAAAUGCGUGAAAGAGUCUCAACAAGCCAUCGGGUGGAAGUGUAUGAUGAACGAAUAGGAAAUUACACCGUGAGAACGAACCAAAGAAAUGCAAAGGGCGAGUACACAUACAAUGCUGUCAUGACAGAUAUAGAUAGGAUAGAGCUGCCAAUCUUCCGAGUAAGAGGUACUCAACUAGGACGUGGAUAAAUCAGUAUAAUGUUGUACUUGCUUCCCUCCGAGACGUGAGCAGAGGUAGAUUUUGGAAGAUCCAAGGAGACCCGGCAAAACUGGUCACGCAUAGGGGUAUGAGACGCACUGGACGGUACCGGAACGAGAUGGAUGAGAGUUCUACUAGCAGAUGUUCAACCUCAAGACAACAAGCUAGAUGUGGCAUUUGCAACGGGUUGGGUCAUAUUAGGAAAACAUGCACCGAACUUUGAAUAUGGCAAUAAUCGUGUCGCUUAUUUGUUUGCGUUCUUUGUGUGGUUUUUAUCCGUUUAUUUCUGAAUUCCUAGGUGUUUUCUUGUAACAUGGCAACUUUCGAUAUCAAUUUUAUGUUUGUUUUCUUAUUA
Molecule: long non-coding RNA, 2991 nt
Organism: Erigeron canadensis
Lineage: Eukaryota; Viridiplantae; Streptophyta; Magnoliopsida; Asterales; Asteraceae
Exons: 2
Source: RefSeq, a predicted model, not a curated record